GAUGAACGCUGGCGGCGUGCCUAAUACAUGCAAGUCGAGCGAACAGACGAGGAGCUUGCUCCUCUGACGUUAGCGGCGGACGGGUGAGUAACACGUGGAUAACCUACCUAUAAGACUGGGAUAACUUCGGGAAACCGGAGCUAAUACCGGAUAAUAUAUUGAACCGCAUGGUUCAAUAGUGAAAGACGGUUUUGCUGUCACUUAUAGAUGGAUCCGCGCCGCAUUAGCUAGUUGGUAAGGUAACGGCUUACAAAGGCAACGAUGCGUAGCCGACCUGAGGGGGGGAGCGGCAACACGGGACAUGGGACACGGCCCAGGCUCAUGCGGAGGGACGAAGGAGGGAAUUUGCCGCAAGGGGGGAAAGCCUGACGGGGCAACGCCGGGGGAGUGAUGAGGGUUUUGGGAUUGUAAAACUUUGUUAUUGGGGAAAAAAAAAUGUGAAAGUAACUUUGCCCGUUUUGAGGGUACCAAAGAAAAAAGCCACGGCAAACUACGU
This 496-nucleotide ribosomal RNA is filed under the name uncultured bacterium. RNAcentral's name for it is "partial 16S ribosomal RNA". It matches the Rfam family "Bacterial small subunit ribosomal RNA", at positions 28 to 506 of the family's 1533-position model. The record is from RNAcentral.